ACAACCGUUGGCGAUCGCUAUACAAACUUUACCAUUCGUUUUACCAAUCUUAACGUAUGUACAUAAAUAAUGAAUUCCUUAAUGGUGAUCAAGCUGUGCACAGAUGUUUGGUAGAAAUCAUUGGUUCUUGCGCUAGAAUAUAGAGUUUGAUUAUCCGUUGACUGAUUGUGAGCACCGGAGUGAGGGUUUGUAUUGUUAAUUCCUUGUUGCAAUUCAAAUGACGCAGCUAGGCUCGAUAUUAAAUGGCGACGUGUUGGCAAGACAGGAAUUCUGUCGAUAAGUUAGAGGUUUGAGCGAAACUUCUAUGGUAACAGAAAUGACCGCACAUUCAUCAACUAUUUAAAUUGCUGUCUGAUGCUGUGGCAUCGCGGUUAUUUAAUUCAUUGUAUUGUGGCAUAAAAUAGGCGUGUUCUACGGAAGCUUGGUGGGGACAUCUGAUUAGCUUUGUAUGUGGCCCUGUUGGCCACAUAUACACAUACCGAGGCCUGCCGAGCUUUGCUUCUCAUUUAAUUACACCCUAUAAUAUCGGAUUCUGAGUCUCAAUAUUCAGCAACAUUUGUAUUGUAUGUAGAUGUGUCUAUAUGUAGAGUCAUUUGGGUUAACUGCGCGCAACGGAUGGCGAAUGCGAAAAUGAUUUCCUUGGUUUUAACCGCUUGAUACAUCAAUGAUCACGUUAACUGCGGUUGGUAUGCACCCCUAAGUCCAAGAAAGGCUUCAAGUGCUGCUAGUUCAAAAAACUGGUUGACUGGGCCAGUGAGAGGGCGAAAGCUCGCGGCACUUUACUACCAAAGUAGAUGGGAACAUCGACACACAGUCAGUUAGAUGUCCCUACCGGCCUUUCAUAGUAGAGAGCGUUGGUAAAAGCGUUGACUGAAAUGAACAAAAUGAACGAUGACCAAAAAUCAAUGAUCUGAAAAUUAUUGGAAAUACAUUUGGAUAAUUUAUUAUCUUUUGUAUACUGCACACAUUGACCUGCACAACCAAUUCUUUAUUAAAAAAUGAAAAAUGUAUGACUACAUG
Long non-coding RNA from Athalia rosae (coleseed sawfly), 1020 nucleotides. RefSeq lists it as uncharacterized. The record is from RefSeq and is a predicted model, not a curated record. The transcript has 3 exons. NCBI's taxonomy places the organism in Eukaryota, Metazoa, Arthropoda, Insecta, Hymenoptera, Athaliidae.